AGAAUCAACGCUGACGGCGUGCCUCAGACAUGCAAGUCGAACGCGAAAGUCCCCUUCGGGGGCAAGUAGAGUGGCGCACGGGUGAGUAACACGUAGGUAAUCUACCUUUGGAUGGGGAAUAACAACCGGAAACGGUUGCUAAUACCGCAUAAUGCAGCGGCACCUAAUGGUGACAGUUGUUAAAGCGGGGAUCGAAAGACCUCGCGUCUGAAGAGGAGCCUGCGGCGGAUUAGCUAGUUGGUAGGGUAACGGCCUACCAAGGCUACGAUCC
This 271-nucleotide ribosomal RNA is filed under the name uncultured soil bacterium. RNAcentral describes it as "partial 16S ribosomal RNA". It matches the Rfam family "Bacterial small subunit ribosomal RNA", at positions 26 to 282 of the family's 1533-position model. The record is from RNAcentral.